CACGUAGGGGGCAAGCGUUGUCCGGCUUUAUUGGGCGUAAAGAGCUCGUAGGUGGCUUAGUAAGUCGGGUGUGAAACCUCCAGGCUCAACCUGGAGACGCCACCCGAUACUGCUAUAGCUUGAGUCCGGUAGGGGAGCGUGGAAUUCCUGGUGUAGCGGUGAAAUGCGCAGAUAUCAGGAGGAACACCAGCGGCGAAGGCGGCGCUCUGGGCCGGUACUGACACUGAGGAGCGAAAGCGUGGGGAGCAAACAGG
This 254-nucleotide ribosomal RNA is filed under the name uncultured bacterium. RNAcentral describes it as "partial 16S ribosomal RNA". It matches the Rfam family "Bacterial small subunit ribosomal RNA", at positions 524 to 776 of the family's 1533-position model. The record is from RNAcentral.